GAUCAGGUCCACCAUUGAUAAAGAGGUGAAGAUACAGUUCAGCAUCACUGGUUCUGGAGCAGAUCAACCCCCUGCGAACUCCCGCCGAAGUUCGCUCCCCUGCCUGUUCGGGCGGUGCUCGGUGGUCGUCGUCACCGGCCUACAAGCCGCCACCGAUCCCUUUUUCUGUUUGUUUUGUCUUAUUAGUUGCACCUGUGUCUAAUUGUGUUUUCCUGAUGUGCUUCCUUAUUUAAGCCUAGUAAUCCCACCCUUGUUUUGUGCGGGAUUAAUUUUGUGUUACGUGUUGUGUGUGUUAGUGCUCCUGACCGUGUACCCUGUGUUUUGGGUUGGUCAGUGUUUUCGUGUAUUUUGGUGCCAGAUUAAAGUGCACUUUUCCCUUUGGAACUCUCUGCUCUAUGCCCCUGAUUCUUACCUCACACACCCAGUCCCUCGUGACACUGUGGGACUGUUCACUGUGGACAAAAACUCUGGGAUUCUCUAUGUGACCAAGCCUUUGGACAGAGAGAGACAAGCCCAUUAUGUGGUAAUGUUUGGAAACAGGACAAAUAUCUGGGAAUGUUAGUUUGUGUUUUACCUUUUGAAUUCUAGAACUUUGAAUGCAUGUGUUGUUUUGAUGACAUUUUUAUUUUCCCCUUUAGCUUUUGGCUCAUGCUGUUGCAGAUGGUACUGGUAUAUCAGAAGAACCAAUGGAGAUUAUUGUUCAAGUAAUUGAUAUGAAUGACAACAAGCCAGUUCUCACCACAGAUGCCUUUAUAGGGAUCCCUACCAGGCUUUGAGGUCAUGGAGGUCACAGCCACCGAUGCAGAUGAGCCUGGCUCAGCCAAUUCUGAUGUCAGAUACACUAUUAUAAAUCAGGAACCUGAACUGCCGAGUCCCAACAUGUUUGUCAUCAACCCUGUCAUAGGAGGGAUUCGGGUCAAUGCUGCUGAACUGGACAGAGAGAAUAUUCCAAAAUAUACAUUGGAAAUCCAAGCUGCUGAUUUGGAGGGCAAUGGUCUGACAUGUUUCGGAAAAUCCAUAAUUACUGUAAUGGACAGCAAUGACAUAGCGCCUCAAUUUGAGAAGUCUUUGAGAACAAAGUGAAUGCCCUGGUGGUCAAAAUGCCAGUGAGUGAUGGAGAUGAGCCACACUGGGCCACCAAGUACAGGAUUGUAGUUGGAGACCCAGGUGGAAUGUUCACUGUAAACCCUGGACCUAGUAGACUGGAAGGAAUCAUUACCACAGCCAAGCCCCUUGACUUUGAAGGACAAUCGCUACACGCUGUUGGUGACUGUGGAGAAUGAGGUCCCAUUUGCCACACCCCUGCCCACCUCCACAGUCCAGCCUAGGAACAGGAUGACAGAUUUUGUACCUUGUCAGCUCGGGGAUUUGAUCUUGCAACCAUUUCGGUAUCGCAUGGACAGAGAUCCUGCUAAAUGGCUGGACAUCAACAGUGAGACCGGAAUGAUCAAAACCAAACACUCCCUGGACAGAGAGUCUCCCUUUGCCAAAGAUGGCAAAUACAGAGUUCUCAUUCUCGCCAUCGAAGAUGAAAUCCCUGCAACUGGAACUGGAACCAUUCUGAUAGAGCUGGAAGAUGUAAACGACAAUGCUCCGACUAUUGAUGACACCCCGUUGAAGCUCUGCAACCAAGACCCCCGUCUAGUGCGUUUGGCUGUGACAGACAGAGACGGGCCAGGCUUUGCUGAAGCCUUCAGUGUAGAACUUCUGGAAGGGUACAAUAUGUAUUGCGCUGCCCAAAUGGACGAAACAGGUGUGUAUUGCUUUUCACGUUCACUCUACAUUAGUCUGUUCAUUUGUAUUCAGAAUAAUAUUAACAGACCAAGUAUGUUCUUUUGACAACAUUCUUCACAUUCAAAGUUGAAAUGUGUCAAAUUGGAACUGUGGUUGAAUUGACAUUCAAGGCCAUGAGGAAGCAGAGAAACUUCUACAUUAAUCUGAUGCUGGCGGGCUGAACCAAGACCAUGUCAUUCACACCACCAUGAAUGAGGACAGCUGCAUGACCUGGGGGGAUUUCUGUGUUAGAUCCUGACCUAUAUGACAUUUCCUUAGCAUUUUUAUAGCUUGCAGAGCUGGAUUGCUUGUUUUGGGAAGGUUGUCACUUCUUUUGACAGCAGGGGUAUGUCACAAAGCCAGAAAUUAGUAGGGAAAUUCACAGCUAAUUUGCCAGUAUUUGUUCCAUCAAAGUACUGAACAUUUUUCGGAGUUACUUAUGUCAAGACAUGUUUUUUUGUUCACAUUUUCUAUUUUUUUGCUAGUUGUGGAUUUUGACUAGAAUAUUCCAACCUGAAGCCAUAUAAUCCUAUGAGUAUGAAAUUGAUUAGAAUUAUGUAUAACCAUAGUCUGUACAAUAUGUCUAUAAACCUUAUUUGAAUAACAGACAGACUGUGAGCAAGAUUCAGUGCUGAUCUUGUCUGGGGCCACAGAGUACUUCCCAGCUUCCCAUCUUGAGGGAGGAUGGGGAGUAAGUCUCCCGGAAUCCCGGAAUCUUUGUCACCUGGGUAGCAGGACAUUGUGUGCUAAUGUUAGUGUGAAUGUGUGUGAGUAUGUUAGUGUGUGUGUGAGAAACCAGUAUAAAAUGAAUUGUUUUGUACAAUAGAGCAGCGCACUCUCGUAAAUAAAUUUUCUGACUAUCGUAGCUGGGCCU
Molecule: RNA transcript, 2647 nt
Organism: Oncorhynchus nerka (sockeye salmon)
Lineage: Eukaryota; Metazoa; Chordata; Actinopteri; Salmoniformes; Salmonidae
Gene name: B-cadherin-like
Exons: 8
Source: RefSeq, a predicted model, not a curated record